UUACGGGGGCUGCAGUGGGGAAUAUUGGACAAUGGGCGAAAGCCUGAUCCAGCCAUGCCGCGUGUGUGAAGAAGGCCUUCGGGUUGUAAAGCACUUUCAGUGGGGAAGAAAGCCUUGGGGCUAAUACCCUCGAGGAAGGACAUCACCCACAGAAGAAGCACCGGCUAACUCCGUGCCAGCAGCCGCGGUAAUACGGAGGGUGCGAGCGUUAAUCGGAAUUACUGGGCGUAAAGCGCGCGUAGGCGGUCUGAUAAGCCGGUUGUGAAAGCCCCGGGCUCAACCUGGGAACGGCAUCCGGAACUGUCAGGCUAGAGUGCAGGAGAGGAAGGUAGAAUUCCCGGUGUAGCGGUGAAAUGCGUAGAGAUCGGGAGGAAUACCAGUGGCGAAGGCGGCCUUCUGGACUGACACUGACGCUGAGGUGCGAAAGCGUGGGUAGCAAACAGGAUUAGAUACCCGUGUAGUC
Molecule: ribosomal RNA, 463 nt
Filed under: Vreelandella stevensii
Lineage: Bacteria; Pseudomonadati; Pseudomonadota; Gammaproteobacteria; Oceanospirillales; Halomonadaceae
Description: partial 16S ribosomal RNA
Rfam family: Bacterial small subunit ribosomal RNA
Source: RNAcentral